RNAcentral lists this ribosomal RNA (416 nucleotides) under uncultured bacterium. RNAcentral describes it as "bacterial SSU rRNA". It matches the Rfam family "Bacterial small subunit ribosomal RNA", at positions 355 to 786 of the family's 1533-position model. The record is from RNAcentral.
UGGGGAAGUAUUGCGCAAUGGGCGAAAGCCAUGACGCAGCAACGCCGCGUGCGGGAUGAAGGCCUUCGGGUUGUAAACCGCUUUCAGCAGGGACGAAAUUGACGGUACCUGCAGAAGAAGCCCCGGCCAACUACGUGCCAGCAGCCGCGGUAAUACGUAGGGCGCGAGCGUUGUCCGGAAUUAUUGGGCGUAAAGAGCUCGUAGGCGGUUUGUCGCGUCGGCCGUGAAAUCUCCACGCUUAACGUGGAGCGUGCGGUCGAUACGGGCAGACUUGAGUUCGGUAGGGGAGACUGGAAUUCCUGGUGUAGCGGUGAAAUGCGCAGAUAUCAGGAGGAACACCGGUGGCGAAGGCGGGUCUCUGGGCCGAUACUGACGCUGAGGAGCGAAAGCGUGGGGAGCGAACAGGAUUAGAUACC